GAUGAACGCUGGCGGCGUGCCUAAUACAUGCAAGUCGAGCGAACAGACGAGGAGCUUGCUCCUCUGACGUUAGCGGCGGACGGGUGAGUAACACGUGGAUAACCUACCUAUAAGACUGGGAUAACUUCGGGAAACCGGAGCUAAUACCGGAUAAUAUAUUGAACCGCAUGGUUCAAUAGUGAAAGACGGUUUUGCUGUCACUUAUAGAUGUAUCCGCGCCGCAUUAGCUAGUUGGUAAGGUAACGGCUUACCAAGGCAACGAUGCGUAGCCGACCUGAGAGGGUGAUCGGCCACACUGGAACUGAGACACGGUCCAGACUCCUACGGGAGGCAGCAGUAGGGAAUCUUCCGCAAUGGGCGAAAGCCUGACGGAGCAACGCCGCGUGAGUGAUGAAGGUCUUCGGAUCGUAAAACUCUGUUAUUAGGGAAGAACAAAUGUGUAAGUAACUAUGCACGUCUUGACGGUACCUACUCAGAAAGCCACGGCUAACUACGUG
This 497-nucleotide ribosomal RNA is filed under the name uncultured bacterium. Its description in RNAcentral is "partial 16S ribosomal RNA". It matches the Rfam family "Bacterial small subunit ribosomal RNA", at positions 28 to 507 of the family's 1533-position model. The record is from RNAcentral.